UAUGAUGACCGGAGACACAGCUGUUGGAGGAAAAAAGUUUAUGUCAAUUAAAAUCCUGAAUUUCUCUGAUCUGGAAAGAAAAACUGCUAUGAACUCUUUAGCUCAACUUCUUGAUGAAGACAACAAACCCAGUGAAAAUAACUGAAAGACUGGAAUUCAGAUGGCCAGAGUGGAGCAACCAUUUCAACACCCAAGAUAUUUGCUAAAGACUACAAAAGAUGCCAACACAAGUGCUGAAGAGGAUGCUACAUGAGAGAAAGAUGGAUUCGUAUGUGGAAAAGCCUUCUAAGGAUAAAGUCUACCAUAUACUGACUUACUUUCGGAGUUUUUUUGUCCACAAGAAUGUCUCUCCUCCAUUGAAAGGAACUUCUUUUUGCAAAUGGAGUCUCAAACCUCACCAAAAUUGCAAAGGUAAAGUUCAUUUCACCCCUCUCAGGCCCCACUGGAUAGAAUCCUAUGUAGGCUCUGGGCUUAAUACUACUACCUUGUUCCAAGUAGAAGGCAGAGUUUGUGUGGCGCUUGGUUUGUUUUGACUUUAAGAGUUGCUAAAUUCAGGUCUUUGAUAUUUGACCAUGUUUCGGAGCUAUUGAAAUAGACUUGGGUUUUCGUCAAUAACAAAUGAAUGAUAUUUUUGUUUUCUCAGAAGACACUCAUACCUGUGAAUGAGUUAGGCUGGGAUUAUGGUUUCUGGUUUACCUGUGGGGCUACUGACUCUCAGGCUACACAGAGCUAGCCCAGGCUCCUGCAGUAGGUUGGUGACAGCUGGACUCAGGCCUGGCUCCCUGCUUCUUACCAGCUGUCUUGGCACUUCAGUCAAACCACCUGGGGCUCCAUUGCCUCAUCUAAGAAAUACAGCAAAUACUGCCUAUUUGCCUUGUUGUUUGUGAAGGUCAUUUGAAAUAUUUUCUAUAGAAGGGUAUUGUAAACCACAGAAUGGUUUACUGGUAUUAAUAAUUCUUACAUAUUUACCUAGUUUAUUGACAGAACUGGAAGAUGACUCUCAGCCGUCUUAGACGAAUCCUCCAUUUCCCAUUUUCAACACACCACCUUCAUGAAGGUAGAAGAACCAAAUGUACAAAGUUAAAUCCUCUUCUCAUGUAGGGAUCUCUGGCCCCUUCUCUGGAGGCAGGUAAAGGUAACCUUGACUUUGGAAUCCACUCUUAUAAGGUGGAUGGGGUAGAACAAGUCUCCUUGACAAUUGACAGACCUAAGUACACGUCAUAAAGACAAGCUACAGAGAAAAAUUGCUUUAAGGAAACUUUAAAUCUCUCAUUAUUUCUUGUAUAUUAAGGAAGAUGAUUACUCAUAUAAAGCAAACUAGUAGGAGUGAGGAAUAUUCAAC
Molecule: long non-coding RNA, 1342 nt
Filed under: Pan paniscus (pygmy chimpanzee)
Lineage: Eukaryota; Metazoa; Chordata; Mammalia; Primates; Hominidae
Description: lncRNA (ENSPPAG00000045025.1)
Source: RNAcentral